CGCGGCCCCGUGAGGGGAAUGCUGUUCCUGAGGGGACUCACACCGGGCUGCGGGGCCGGCGCGGGAGGAUCCCGUCCUGCCGUGCCCCAUCGGGUUUCUCGAGAGACGCGCAUGAAGAAGUUGACAGAAAUCAAAGAAUUAAAUUUUUUUCGACGCACCUUUUAACUAACAGCCACCUAUUCGGGAACAAUGCUUCUUAUAUGAUCAGUUAAUAGCUUUGAAUUGUGUCUUAUCAUAAAUAUUCUGCAGGAGUGCUUAUCUAGGGAGAAAGCAUUCCUUCCCUAAUCACACCCUUCUCAGUGACUGGGGUUGGCAGGAGCUCAGGAGGUCAUCCUGUCCAAGCCCCUGCCCAGGCAGGGCCACCCUGAGCCAGCUGCCCAAAACCAAGGCCAGGUGAUUUUUGAGUAUCUCCAAGGAUGGAGAAUUCAUGACCUCCCUGAGCAACCUGCUCAGGUGUUUGACCACUCUGACAAUGAAAACGUCUUUCCUUAUUUUCACGUGGAUUCUCUUGUCUUUCAGUUUGUACCCAUUGACUCGCAUCCUUUCCCAGGGAACCACUGAGUUCCCUACCAUUUUCUGAUUAAGUCUUCUUCAUCCCCUCCCAUUUAUGGAUUAAAGAUCCCUCCAACCCUUCUCUUCCACAGGCUAAACAGUCCCAGGUUUCUAAGCCUCUGCUCAUGUAGCCAGUCUGCUGUCUGAGACACCCAUGUCUUAACACUGCUUUUCUCUCUCAAAGUCCACCAAACAGUAAGAGUGAAUGGCAAUAAAUCUAUGACUAUUUAUUAAACAAUUACAGCCUUCUGCACAGAGUUAAACUUGACAAUUAGAAAUGUCUUCAUUAUGAAUCUGUUCUAUAAAUACACAAUACCAAGAUCUUACAAAGCUGUGGAGUUGCUGUGUCUGAAGUAGCUGUUGGCAGCUGACAGUCCCAGUUCACCUCAAGGCUGUAGUCAACACUGUCAUGUCUGUAGUCAGAAAAUAUUUACUCUUUAAUAGUCUGGUCUGUACAGUACAAAGGAGGACUUUAUCAGAUAUGUGCUCUGUAAAAGCUUAAAGUAAAAGAUCACAGAAGCUGAGCUGUACCACUGAGGAAAUACAGAAUAUUGAUAUAAAAUAUAUAUUUUGAAAGGAUGAAACAUAUUCAGUUAGACGUAUUGUUCUUCAAGUGCAGCACCAGGUCUAAUAUGUCUUUAGACCAGAAUUAACAACAUGAAGCUGCAUUUAGCUUGCUCUGUCCUCAAAACCACUGCCUUUAGUCCGGGAAACUAUGUGAAUGAUUUUGUUGACCAGAUAACUCAUACUAUUUGAAUAUUAUACUCUUUUAUUCAAGUUCUGUACUGCUUUUCAAUGAGUUGCAGAAAACUACAGCUGAAGUUGCAUUUUUUUUUUCCUACAUAAUAGUUUGCUCAUAGUCAGGACAACCUCCUCCCAGGUACAAAACUCCAUGUCUGCAGGACCUCACAUUUCAAGGAAACUAGCUAUAACCAAGGAAAAGUUUUUGGGGCUUCACCAGUUACUUGGUGGCAGCAUCAGAUGACAUUGACUUCAAAAUUAAUGUAUAAAGGAUGUGUUUGGCUUUAAGUACCCCCUUAUUUCCUCCCAUAAACAAGUCUGGCUAUCUAGAAUAUAACACAAAACUUCAACUAUACUGGUAAUAUUAUUAGUUUGUGCUGUCUUUAUGUACAUACACUUGAGAAGAAAAGCAAACACAUCUGUGUCCAUGUCUAAGAUUGGAACAUGUCUUCCCCCAGCAUGCAUUCACAUUUAAAAUUAAAAUAUUAUAUUGGACAAUUAUGUUGGUGAUAUAAAGAGGUGGUUUGGAAAAAGUACUAGUGGGGCCUCCCUGGAAAUUAUGUUCUGCAUAAAUGUCCUGAUUUUCAAUGACUUAUGCUUCUCCCAGAAGUAAAAUUUCUGUUCCCUUUAAAUUAUACAUGUUAACUUGGAUUUUUCAAAUGUCUUAGUUUUGUGGUUGGGAUUUAUUUAAAAUCCAUGUCUCAGAAUAAAAUGUAUUUUCUUUAGAUAUACCUUUGCAUUAGUUUUUUUCGCUAAGGUUGGAACAAAUGGGAAAAGACUAAAACACAUCAAGCCACAGCAAACUUUUCCUCACAUUUUAAAGGGACCUAUUUUUCCUGUUGAGUUCAUUUUGUAAAGAGAUUUGCAUAGUUAUUGGCUGUUAGCUUUAUUCCAAAUCUUUACAUUUUAAAUCCUGCUAGCCAAUUAGCUAAUUUAAGUCUUCUUUCUUUUGCUAACACUCAUUAUACUAAUUUAGGUAAUAAAAUUGUACUUUUGUUCAAGAAUAUUCUUUUCCAAAAUCAAUUUAAUUUGAAAACAUUUUCCCCCAAGUAUUCAGGAAGUCAUUAUUUCAACUAUUGAUGUUGGAAAAUGCAUUAAACAGCUUUUAUUAAGCACAAGGGUGUUUUAAACAAAACUUGUAGCUUCUCCUGAUCUGGUAACUAAAUAUGUUUAGUACUUGACGCUGCAGAAUUCCUGAAAAUCCUGCCUGUGGUGGGAGCAUCAGAAGAGGAGGCUGUUGCCUCAAAUCAGGAUGCACAGCAUGGGGAAAAAGGACUUCAUCCUCUUCUGUAGAAGUGAAUGGUCACUGAGUAGCUGAAGAAUGACUCCAACUGUGUGCUGAAUGCAACCUGCACGUUGUAAUACAGCAUGGGAAACAAGGAAAGUAACUGCAACAUUCUGGUAAGAUUCCCAGUCCCCACCCACUGCAAUAUGAGAUUAAAGUACAAAAUAAGUAGAACAUAAACCUGCAAGCUUCAGAUGUCACUACUGGAUUAUUAUCAACUCUGUCUGAAUGAAUAAUGCAGUAUCUCAGUUCUGGAGCUUACCCAGGAGAGAUGUCUCAUCAAGAACAAACUUGCUCCCUGUGACAUCAAAUGACUCCAAAAGAUGUGUGAACUGCAAGGCUCAGCAGGUGACAGAGUAGUGAAACAUUUUCUGAGAUUAGCAAAUAGAAAGUUUGCCACAAGCCUGUGGCACUCAGCCCAAAGCACGAGGUGCUGAAAAAAGGCCAGGAGAGAUUAAGGGUUGAGUUUAUUUGCUCUCAAUACUGUUAAGCAAGAUGACAACUAGACAGCCUAGCUGCAAAACAACUUUCUGCCUGGCCAAGUUUAAAAAAAAAAAAUUGUAAAAAUGGAACAAUCUCAGUGAAGAAGUUCUGUUGCAGUUGUAACAGAUCCUGCCAGAAAGUCAAGAUACUUGUCAAGAGGGACCAAGAAAUGAUGCUUAUAGAACUAUCUUCAAGGAGCAGGUCUAUAAGGUUUCUGGGAUAUUUUAAUCACCUGUGAAUGAGAUUAUUUCCAGUGGUCCUUUUCAGAUAUUACUAAGUGCUAAUGAAAUAAUGCUUUAAAAUAAAGAUUCAACAAUUUCUGUGUCAAAGAAUUAUCUUACUAGAAUCUUAUUCUAAUUAUCUUAUAGAAGUUUUGACAGGAUGGUUUUAUGGGCCUUUUGCACCUCAGGAUGCAAUUUGCCUGAACAUCUCAAACGGUGUCUGUGUAGUAUUCUGUGAUCAAAGAAGAAACGAAGAAUUCUGCCAUUGGUUUAACUGGAAUAUAACCACUUGCUCACUGUCUCCAGUGGAAUGGGGCAGAGAAUCAGCAAAAAGCUGUGGACUAUGCAUUCAAAUAUGGGUGAAACAAACUGCAAAGCAUCCUUGGUGACAAGUUAACAGGCUCAUUCCUACAAAAUCUUUAAUUCAGAUAUCAUAUAGUUCUCUUCAUUAUAUGGAAGACUUCAAGGAAGCUAAGUUACUGAAAGAAGGCCUGUAGCAUCCAUCUCUCAUCUUUUCAGUGAAAAGCACUGGAUUUAUCAAUGCAACAGCAAGGCAGAGCUGCUUUUGAAAAUAUAUUUGGUCAAGUUUUCAGUAGUGAGCCUUCUCAAGGGUCCAGGAGUUGACAUUUGAAUACCAACUGAAAUUGGUGAGAGUUUACUGGUAUAAAUAAUUUUCCUUAUAAAUACAAAAAUGUAAGUUGAUGAAAACCAACUGCUACAUUUCAGAAAAGGAAAUGGUGUAUGUGGAGUUGUGGUGUUGAUGUAGCUGGCAAAUGCUGACAGGAAUGAAACAUUCUUUGUGUAAAAUCUAACUGUAAUCCUUAGUAGAAUAAGAGGCAAAACUGCCAAUAAGGCAAGAUUUAAUCUUUAUCUUCCACAUAUUUUGUGGGAAAGUUUGGAAACUGAGUGUGAACAUGCUUCAGGAAAAUUUGGUCUGCUAUGGAAAAUUGGGAAGUUUUCCAGCAGGAGAUGCUUAGAAUAUUGUAUGCCUUUGUUUGAACUUUUUAAAAAUUAAUCAGGAUGUGACACUUAAAUGGAAAGGAAAUGUGUUUGUAAAAAUGAUGCAGGAGUUUAGGAAGAGAGAUUGACAAAGAAGAAAUAUUUGGGGGGUGUUAAUUUAUAAUUCUCUUGAUUUUUACUGCAUCACUGCGGAGCCAAAAUGCAGGUUAUGGAGCCAACAAACAGGAGCCAGGGCAUGGUUUUGUGUGCCUGCUGUGUGUUUCCAUCCUUGCUUCCUGGACAAUCACUGGAUUAAAACUCGAAACAGGUUUUAGGCACACUUUGUUUCUGUGCAGUCUCCCUUGUCUAACUGAUAGUCAAAUGCUCUUCUAAGUCAACCAUUAAACUUGCAUUUUACUGUCUAUGACCACUACGCAGUGGGGGGAACAUUCAAAAUAUAUUUGAUUAUUUAAGCUAACUUCUGUGUGGGCAGAACUGUGGACAUUUAUGGGCUUUGCAGGGAUUUUACUGUGUUUGUUAAAUCAUAUAGGUUUUAUCAGAGUGUUAACCUCUCUGGAGCCUCCAUCACCAGCUCUACUGAGGUCUGCUAUUCUUUCAGGAUGGGCUAAAAACCCCAGACAUUUAUUUAUUCCUUAUUUGUUUUGAAACAAAAAUUAUUAUAAGUCUGAAUAAAAGAAGAAUAAAUGGUGUAUAUAAUUUCAAUCUCACAGCAAAGCUACCAGAACAGAUGUUCUUGUGGGUUCUAAUGGGUUUUGCUCCUUCAUCUUGUAUUUUGAAAGAAUUUCUAUGGCUAAUAAAUAAUCUAUAACAUUAACUGGUACCGUUAUGGUUGUGAUAUUAAAGGUCAUAAAAACACAUGCAUUAUCUGGCUUUUAGAGCUUUCUUCCUGUCUUUUUUACUUACUUU
Molecule: long non-coding RNA, 5148 nt
Organism: Passer domesticus (house sparrow)
Lineage: Eukaryota; Metazoa; Chordata; Aves; Passeriformes; Passeridae
Exons: 4
Source: RefSeq, a predicted model, not a curated record